CCGCUAAUGGCUCAGAUGGAGAUGGAACGCAUCUCCCUCCAGAAUGGAUCUGCUCCGCCCGUGUUCGAGCUUACUUUGUAAUCUGGCUCAGAUUUAUCUAAUCUUUUCCCUCCCCCCUUCUCUUGGCAGACGGUCCCAGACCCGCCCUCCCAGCCAGCACCCGGGACGGCGCUAGCCUCAUUCCCUCUCCGUGGCUGCUUGGGGCUGCGGACGCCCCAUCACCGAGAUCGCCCGAGUAGCCUUAGCGACAGCUGAGAUAAAUGUGGGCUUGGGGAGCAGAAGCCCCUGCAGAAGUCAGCAGGGGCCAUAAAGGAGCAGAUUCCUCCCCCCCUCCCAAAAGCCACACACCGCCGCAUGCAGGCCAAGCCUCCGGUGAUUUGUUACCUGCUUAUCUCCAGCCUGCCAGUCAACCCCGGCUGUCCUGAGCCGGGGAGGAACAAUGCAGAAGGGCAGCGCCAGAAAAAUGUUUGCCCGGGGAUUACCAGACAUCGCAGAGCAGACGGCAAGGGCUUCAGGAAGCCCAGAACUUCCUAAGGAAACAACCCCCAAAAGAUGUCUGGACAGCGUCUACCCCUUCUGCCAUGACGGUGGCCCUCCCUGUGCGACCCAUCUCUUGUGGAUGGCCAUACUCCAUCCGCAGGAUGAAAAAGUGGUUGUCGAUUUUCAUCAGAUGAUUUCAGCAUCUCUAUGACUUACGUUCGAUUUGGUGCAUCUUGAUAUUAACCUUUUGUUCUUGGUAUAUGUCAUGC
RNAcentral lists this long non-coding RNA (749 nucleotides) under Felis catus (domestic cat). Its description in RNAcentral is "lncRNA (ENSFCAG00000041593.2)". The record is from RNAcentral. Lineage: Eukaryota; Metazoa; Chordata; Mammalia; Carnivora; Felidae.